ACUGUUCGCUUCACUGCUGCAAGCACAGAGCGAAGGCUGAGCUGGGAGGGAGGCGCACCCGUCCAGGCCACGCCCUCGGCCCCGCCUCUUCCGACCAGGCCCCGCCUCCUCACCGCACACCGGGUCCACUGUGGCAUGCAGCGCCCCCUAUGAUCCAGUCACCUCUGAGCACAUGAGGUUUGGAGAGAAUUUUUUAAAAAUCGAAACUAUAAACGAAGGCAAAUUUGUUUGUCACACAGGAUCUCUUUUUGGCUCCUGUAGUGGCACAUAAGACAUCUACAAGAAGGGCAAGGCGAGGCCGUGAACAGGGUUUUGCCGUCACAUGGGAGACAUCUGCCGGGAGGGCGGGUUGGGCUGCUGAUGGGUCCAGCUCCAUCACCCCAAGAAUCAAGGCAGACUGACUGCGUCACUCUGGCCCUCAAGAUCCAUAAUCCAAGUGCUCUCUGAAUAAUACAAGAUAACAACAGUGAGAAGUGGAGGAGGAAGAAGAGAGAGGGAGUACUACACAAAAAAUUGUGGAUCACCUUGAUGAGCUGACAAAUGAACAGGCAGUUCAAAGACCUGCUCCAACAACACUGAAAGCCAAAAAGAUGUCAACUGUGUCCUAGAAGAAGGGAUAGGAAAACCAAACAUACAUGCUAUCAGUAUUUUGUACACCAAAGACCAGUUGAUGCUGAAAAUUUUGAUGCCUUUUUAUAAAAACUCAAUAAUAUUAAGAAUGUAA
Molecule: long non-coding RNA, 724 nt
Organism: Cavia porcellus (domestic guinea pig)
Lineage: Eukaryota; Metazoa; Chordata; Mammalia; Rodentia; Caviidae
Exons: 4
Source: RefSeq, a predicted model, not a curated record